Molecule: long non-coding RNA, 255 nt
Organism: Vigna radiata var. radiata (mung bean)
Lineage: Eukaryota; Viridiplantae; Streptophyta; Magnoliopsida; Fabales; Fabaceae
Exons: 4
Source: RefSeq, a predicted model, not a curated record
UGCAAAUGAACCGAAGUGUUCCAACAAUCUGUUUAAAGAGUUUUGUACGAAUUCCAUUCCAAGAAAAUAUCCUAGUUUGCCGAGGGGCAUAAACUUCAUUGAAGUCUAUCCCAGUUUCACAAGUUUCCACGUUUUAUUUCGUUCAAUGGAUGACAGCUCUUCCUGCAUAGCAUCUUGCCACUCCUUGAUCUCAACUGCUUGAUUCCAUGUGAGUGUAUCAGCACCUGCAAAUAGAGCAUACUGGACAAUAUCUCG